Molecule: ribosomal RNA, 468 nt
Filed under: uncultured bacterium
Lineage: Bacteria
Description: partial 16S ribosomal RNA
Rfam family: Bacterial small subunit ribosomal RNA
Source: RNAcentral
GACGAACGCUGGCGGCGUGCUUAACACAUGCAAGUCGAACGGAAAGGCCCUGCUUUUGUGGGGUGCUCGAGUGGCGAACGGGUGAGUAACACGUGAGUAACCUGCCCUUGACUUUGGGAUAACUUCAGGAAACUGGGGCUAAUACCGGAUAGGAGCUCCUGCUGCAUGGUGGGGGUUGGAAAGUUUCGGCGGCUGGGGAUGGACUCGCGGCUUAUCAGCUUGUUGGUGGGGUAGUGGCUUACCAAGGCUUUGACGGGUAGCCGGCCUGAGAGGGUGACCGGCCCCAUUUGGGCCUGGGACACGGCCCAGACCCCCCCGGGGGGCACAAUGGGGGAAUUUUCAACAUGGGGCGGAAGCCGGUGCCGGCACCCCCCGGGGGGGGAAAACGCCCUUCGGGUUGAAACCCCUUUUCCCCUUGGACAAGCGGUGGGUACCGUUAUUGGUAAAAGAAGCACCGGCAAACUCCGU